AACCGCCGUGUACCGGCCCGUACGCACGGUGGUGUGGGAGGAGUCGGGCCGCGAGGCCUGCCCCUAUCCCAAU
Molecule: unclassified non-coding RNA, 73 nt
Filed under: Paraburkholderia sartisoli
Lineage: Bacteria; Pseudomonadati; Pseudomonadota; Betaproteobacteria; Burkholderiales; Burkholderiaceae
Source: RNAcentral